This 108-nucleotide ribosomal RNA is filed under the name Bordetella pertussis H897. The record is from RNAcentral. Lineage: Bacteria; Pseudomonadati; Pseudomonadota; Betaproteobacteria; Burkholderiales; Alcaligenaceae.
CGACCAUAGCAAGGUGGUCCCACUCCUUCCCAUCCCGAACAGGACAGUGAAACGCCUUCGCGCCGAUGAUAGUGGAUGUACAUCUGUGAAAGUAGGUCAUCGUCAGGC